This 490-nucleotide ribosomal RNA is filed under the name uncultured bacterium. Its description in RNAcentral is "partial 16S ribosomal RNA". It matches the Rfam family "Bacterial small subunit ribosomal RNA", at positions 30 to 507 of the family's 1533-position model. The record is from RNAcentral.
AUUGAACGCUGGCGGCAGGCCUAACACAUGCAAGUCGAACGGUAACAGGAAGAAGCUUGCUUCUUUGCUGACGAGUGGCGGACGGGUGAGUAAUGUCUGGGAAACUGCCUGAUGGAGGGGGAUAACUACUGGAAACGGUAGCUAAUACCGCAUAACUUCGCAAGACCAAAGAGGGGGACCUUCGGGCCUCUUUCCAUCGGAUUUGCCCAGAUGGGAUUAGCUAGUAGGUGGGGUAACGGCUCACCUAGGCGACGAUCCCUAGCUGGUCUGAGAGGAUGACCAGCCACACUGGAACUGAGACACGGUCCAGACUCCUACGGGAGGCAGCAGUGGGGAAUAUUGCACAAUGGGCGCAAGCCUGAUGCAGCCAUGCCGCGUGUAUGAAGAAGGCCUUCGGGUUGUAAAGUACUUUCAGCGGGGAGGAAGGAAGUAAAGUUAAUACCUUUGCUCAUUGACGUUACCCGCAGAAGAAGCACCGGCUAACUCCGUG